RNAcentral lists this unclassified non-coding RNA (143 nucleotides) under Ramularia rhabdospora. Its description in RNAcentral is "partial internal transcribed spacer 2". Lineage: Eukaryota; Fungi; Ascomycota; Dothideomycetes; Mycosphaerellales; Mycosphaerellaceae. The record is from RNAcentral.
CACCACUCAAGCCUCGCUUGGUAUUGGGCGUCGCGAGUCUCUCGCGCGCCUCAAAGUCUCCGGCUGUCUGACCCGUCUCCCAGCGUUGUGGCAACUAUUUCGCAGUGGAGUUCGAGUUCGGCGCGGCCGUUAAAUCUUUCAAA